GAGUGAGUGGCGAACUGGUGAGUAACACGUGGGAAACCUGCCCAGAAGCGGGGGAUAACACCUGGAAACAGAUGCUAAUACCGCAUAACAACUUGGACCGCAUGGUCCGAGUUUGAAAGAUGGCUUUGGCUAUCACUUUUGGAUGGUCCCGCGGCGUAUUAGCUAGAUGGUGGGGUAACGGCUCACCAUGGCAAUGAUACGUAGCCGACCUGAGAGGGUAAUCGGCCACAUUGGGACUGAGACACGGCCCAAACUCCUACGGGAGGCAGCAGUAGGGAAUCUUCCACAAUGGACGAAAGUCUGAUGGAGCAACGCCGCGUGAGUGAAGAAGGGUUUCGGCUCGUAAAACUCUGUUGUUAAAGAAGAACAUAUCUGAGAGUAACUGUUCAGGUAUUGACGGUAUUUAACCAGAAAGCCACGGCUAACUACGUGCCAGCAGCCGCGGUAAUACGUAGGUGGCAAGCGUUGUCCGGAUUUAUUGGGCGUAAAGCGAGCGCAGGCGGUUUUUUAAGUCUGAUGUGAAAGCCUUCGGCUCAACCGAAGAAGUGCAUCGGAAACUGGGAAACUUGAGUGCAGAAGAGGACAGUGGAACUCCAUGUGUAGCGGUGAAAUGCGUAGAUAUAUGGAAGAACACCAGUGGCGAAAGCGGCUGUCUGGUCUGUAACUGACGCUGAGGCUCGAAAGUAUGGGUAGCAACAGGAUUAGAUACCCUGGUAGUCCAUACCGUAACGAUGAAUGCUAGUGUGAGGGUUUCGCCCUCAGUGCUGCAGCUACGCAUAGCAUCCGCUUGGGAGUACGCGCAGCUGAACU
This 810-nucleotide ribosomal RNA is filed under the name Lactiplantibacillus plantarum. RNAcentral's name for it is "bacterial SSU rRNA". It matches the Rfam family "Bacterial small subunit ribosomal RNA", at positions 89 to 901 of the family's 1533-position model. The record is from RNAcentral. Lineage: Bacteria; Bacillati; Bacillota; Bacilli; Lactobacillales; Lactobacillaceae.